CGAGUUUGAUCCUGGCUCAGGAUGAACGCUAGCGGCAGGCUUAACACAUGCAAGUCGAGGGGUAACAGUGCUUUCGGGCAGCUGACGACCGGCGCACGGGUGCGUAACGCGUAUGCAAUCUACCUUUAACAGGAGGAUAGCCCCGAGAAAUCGGGAUUAAUACUCCAUAAUAUUUUCCUAUGACAUCAUAAGAAAAUCAAAAGCUCCGGCGGUUAAAGAUGAGCAUGCGUCCCAUUAGUUAGUUGGUAGGGUAACGGCUUACCAAGACGUCGAUGGGUAGGGGUUCUGAGAGGAUGAUCCCCCACACUGGUACUGAGACACGGACCAGACUCCUACGGGAGGCAGCAGUGAGGAAUAUUGGGCAAUGGACGCAAGUCUGACCCAGCCAUGCCGCGUGCAGGAUGACAGCCUUAUGGGUUGUAAACUGCUUUUGUUUGGGAAGAACACUAUGUACGUGUACGUAGGUGACGGUACCAGACGAAUAAGCAUCGGCUAACUCCGUG
Molecule: ribosomal RNA, 503 nt
Filed under: uncultured bacterium
Lineage: Bacteria
Description: bacterial SSU rRNA
Rfam family: Bacterial small subunit ribosomal RNA
Source: RNAcentral